This 207-nucleotide ribosomal RNA is filed under the name uncultured bacterium. Its description in RNAcentral is "partial 16S ribosomal RNA". It matches the Rfam family "Bacterial small subunit ribosomal RNA", at positions 568 to 774 of the family's 1533-position model. The record is from RNAcentral.
UGCGUAGGCGGCGACGUGUGUCAGAGGUGAAAGCUCACGGCUCAACCGUGGAAUUGCCUUUGAAACUGCAUCGCUUGAGUCCGAGAGAGGAUGAUGGAACUCCUGGUGUAACGGUGAAAUGUGCAGAUAUCAGGAAGAACACCGGUGGCGAAGGCGGUCAUCUGGCUCGGUACUGACGCUGAGGCACGAAAGCUAGGGUAUCGAACG